UACGAAGGGGGCUAGCGUUGCUCGGAAUCACUGGGCGUAAAGGGCGCGUAGGCGGAUCUUUAAGUCAGGGGUGAAAGCCUGAGGCUCAACCUCAGAAUUGCCUUUGAUACUGAAGAUCUUGAGACCGGAAGAGGUAAGUGGAACUGCGAGUGUAGAGGUGAAAUUCGUAGAUAUUCGCAAGAACACCAGUGGCGAAGGCGGCUCACUGGCCCGGUACUGACGCUGAGGUGCGAAAGCGUGGGGAGCAAACAGG
RNAcentral lists this ribosomal RNA (253 nucleotides) under uncultured bacterium. RNAcentral's name for it is "partial 16S ribosomal RNA". It matches the Rfam family "Bacterial small subunit ribosomal RNA", at positions 524 to 776 of the family's 1533-position model. The record is from RNAcentral.